GGCCCUAAAAAGCCCUCUACACAUAAAAGUUUGGUCCUAACUUUAAAGUCAAUUAUCCCCCAACUUACACAUGCAAGUCUCCUCACCCCUGUGAGUACGCCCUUUAGUUUCCCCCUCGAAAUAAGGAGCCGGUAUCAGGCACAAUAAUUUGCCCAAAACACCUAGCAACAGCCACACCCACAAGGGCCACAGCAGUGAUUAACAUUAAAUAUAAGCGUCAGCUUGAUCUAGUUAGAGUGAUACGGGCCGGCCAAACUGGUGCCAGCCGCCGCGGUUACACCACGGGGCCCAAAUUGACUACUUUCGGCGUAAAGCGUGGUUAAAGCUACAAGCUAAUAAAGUCAAACCUGAGCUGGGCAGUGACAUGCCCGCCCAAAAGAAGCUCAAAGACGAAAGUUACUUUAUACCCGCAACUUGAACCCACGACAACCAAGACUCAAACUAGGAUUAGAUACCCUACUAUGCCUGGUUAUAAACUUUAAAUUACCCCCACAUCGCCAAGGGACUACGAGCAAUGCUUAAAACCUAAAGGACCUGACGGUACCCCACAUCCCCCUAGAGGAGCCUGUCCUAUAAUCGAUAAUCCCCGCUUAACCUCACCACUUCUAGCUUUCAGCCUGUAUACCUCCGUCCCAGCUCACCCUGUGAAUGAAUCAGUAAGCUUAAACGUCCUAAACCAACACAUCAGGUCAAGGUGCAGCAAAUGAAGUGGGAAGAGAUGGGCUACACUUUCUACCUUAGAAAAUACGAAAAGUCAUUAUGCAACCUGACCAGAAGGCGGAUUUAGCAGUAAAAAGACAAUAGAGUACUCUUUUUAACCCGGCACUGGGGUGUGUACACACCGCCCGUCACCCUCUUCGAAACAUAGCAGUAGUAAUUAACAAACCUAAGUAACUAAGAAGAGGCAAGUCGUAACACGGUAAGUAUACCGGAAGGUGUGCUUGGCAA
RNAcentral lists this non-coding RNA (948 nucleotides) under Ischnocnema abdita. Lineage: Eukaryota; Metazoa; Chordata; Amphibia; Anura; Brachycephalidae. The record is from RNAcentral.